GCAAAGCAAAAAUUCCAGAAGCCAAAGCUUCACAUCACAAACCCUAAUCCCUUUUUCUCUUAUCUUCUUCUUCUUCUUCCUCUCUCUCUCUCUCUCUGCAAUAAACAUGUCUCACUUUGGACGGUCUGGUCCUCCAGACAUUUCCGACACUUACUCUCUUCUCGUUCUCAACAUCACCUUCCGCACCACCGCCGAUGACCUAUUCCCUCUCUUCGAUAAGUAUGGGAAGGUUGUCGACAUCUUCAUUCCCAAAGAUCGAAGGACCGGUGAGUCGAGGGGUUUUGCUUUUGUGCGUUACAAGUAUGCUGAUGAGGCUCAGAAGGCCGUUGAUAGGCUCGAUGGAAGAAUGGUUGAUGGUCGUGAAAUAACUGUCCAGUUUGCAAAAUAUGGGCCUAAUGCUGAGAGGAUUCACAAAGGAAGGAUUAUUGAAACAGCCGAGAGAUCAAGGCACAGGUCAAGGAGCCGCAGUCCCAGGAAAAGGUAUCGUGAUGAUUACAGAGACCGGGAUUAUAAGAGGAGAAGUCGUAGCAGAAGCUAUGAUAGGUAUGAACGUGAAAGGCACCGUGGGAGAGACAAAGAUUAUCGUCGUAGAAGCAGGAGCCGAAGUACUAGUCUUGAUUACAAGGGUCGUGGGAGGGGACGCUUUGACGAUGAGCGUCAUAGUAGAAGCCGGAGCAGAUCAGUUGAUAGCCGCUCCCCUGCACAACGCAGUCCUAGUCCUCGAAGGAGUCCUUCCCCUCAGAGGAGCACUUCCCCUCAAAGGAGUAUUUCCCCUAGGAAAAGUCCACAGGGUGAAAGUCCGGCAAAUCAUAGCCCUGGUGGACAUUCUCCUACCCCUCGCAGUGUCUCACCACGUGGUCGCCCUGAUGCUUCACGAAGCCCUUCCCCUCGUAAUUCAAAUGGUGAUGAAUAAGUUAUGGAUGUUUAUACAUGAAAAGUUCUGGAGAUGCUGGACUAUUGCACCUGUAGCUGUUUUGCUAUGGUUGGAUCUUUUAGUCUAUGUGAACGGUGUUAUCAGAGUCCUGGAAGGAUUUUAUGAUCUAAGUGCUGUUUGUUAUGAUGGAAAAGUGAUGGGGCCUGUUAGGCGCAUGUUGACUUUGUUGCUGUCGAUGCUGUUUGUGUCCUUGAUGAUUGGUCGUGAAUUUGAUGCUGGUUGCAAGAGUAUGCUGGUUUUAGGACUGUGAUUGUUUUACCAGUAUGCUGAUUAGACAGACAAUUAGUUGACUUGGUUUUUCCUGAUUGAUCUGAUCAUUGGUAAGCUUUUUUGGUUUACGUUUUUGUUUCUUCUGAGAUCCCUCAUAACCACUGAGAAUUCUGAUCUUUGAUCUGGUAACCGUGUUUGGUGUUCAUUGGAAAAAGUGUCCUGAAAGGGAUUCUUGAUGCUGUGACGAACACAAGUUCAGCAUUUUUUGACAUGUAGCUGUUGCCUCGUAGGAGUUGGACCUGUCAUUUGUUGAUUCAGAUGCAGAUAUUUAACGUAAAACUGUGGGUACUAAAUAUGAACGUUAAUGUGCUGGUGUUUAUUUCAAAUUACAGUGAAGGGAACAAUGGUAACACAUACUUUUUGAGGAUAUUUUAAUGGAUAGUUUUUAACAUUGACCUUUCAAGAUUAUAGCAUCUGCUACUUAAUGUAGUUGAGUUACGUUUGUUGUAGCACUGCUCCAUGACACUGUAGCUGUGAGGUGGUAGCUGAUGCAUCUUUUAUAUGAAAUGCAUGUGUUCGUGAAUAAUUUGAAGAACUAACCAAUUACGUAGCUGACUGUUGCUGCCCUUUUUUGCUGUGUUCGGGUUGGCAAUGGUAUUAGCAGUUGCUACUGAUGAUGCUGUCUAGCUGUGCUGCUGGUUUCUGUUGAUUCCAAAGCCGCGUGACAGAAUUGUUUUUCACUAUUGAACUGGUGAUUUGUUUUUGUAGCUUAAUUUCAGUUAUUCAUUUUUUUUUCUUAUGGCAUAAAAAGGUUUACCCCUAUUGCUUGUCUAUUGUUGCUUUGGCAUUUUGAUCAAUAUCGCAACAUUUUGUUUUGGUUAACUGUUUGGCAACUGAAAUAACAAUUGUUUUAGAGAUGUGUUUCUCUUAAAUUUGCAAGUUUCCUCGAGUUGGUGGUGAA
This is a non-coding RNA of Cajanus cajan (pigeon pea), 2105 nucleotides long. Lineage: Eukaryota; Viridiplantae; Streptophyta; Magnoliopsida; Fabales; Fabaceae. The record is from RefSeq and is a predicted model, not a curated record.